UACGUAGGGUGCAAGCGUUGUCCGGAUUCAUUGGGCGUAAAGAGCUCGUAGGCGGCUUGUCACGUCGGGUGUGAAAGCCCGGGGCUUAACCCCGGGUCUGCAUUCGAUACGGGCUAGCUAGAGUGUGGUAGGGGAGAUCGGAAUUCCUGGUGUAGCGGUGAAAUGCGCAGAUAUCAGGAGGAACACCGGUGGCGAAGGCGGAUCUCUGGGCCAUUACUGACGCUGAGGAGCGAAAGCGUGGGGAGCGAACAGG
RNAcentral lists this ribosomal RNA (253 nucleotides) under uncultured bacterium. RNAcentral's name for it is "partial 16S ribosomal RNA". It matches the Rfam family "Bacterial small subunit ribosomal RNA", at positions 524 to 776 of the family's 1533-position model. The record is from RNAcentral.